RNAcentral lists this ribosomal RNA (659 nucleotides) under uncultured Actinomycetales bacterium. RNAcentral's name for it is "bacterial SSU rRNA". It matches the Rfam family "Bacterial small subunit ribosomal RNA", at positions 65 to 738 of the family's 1533-position model. The record is from RNAcentral. Lineage: Bacteria; Bacillati; Actinomycetota; Actinomycetes; Actinomycetales.
AACGGAAAGGCCUCUUCGGAGGUACUCGAGUGGCGAACGGGUGAGUAACACGUGGGUGAUCUGCCCUGCACUCUGGGAUAAGCCUGGGAAACUGGGUCUAAUACCGGAUAGGACCAUGCUUUAGUGUGUGUGGUGGAAAGUUUUUUCGGUGUAGGAUGAGCCCGCGGCCUAUCAGCUUGUUGGUGGGGUAAUGGCCUACCCAAUGCGGCGACGGGUAGCCGGCCUGAGAGGGUGUACGGCCACAUUGGGACUGAGAUACGGCCCAGACUCCUACGGGAGGCAGCAGUGGGGAAUAUUGCACAAUGGGCGCAAGCCUGAUGCAGCGACGCCGCGUGGGGGAUGAAGGCCUUCGGGUUGUAAACUCCUUUCGCUAGGGACGAAGCUUUUUGUGACGGUACCUAGAUAAGAAGCACCGGCUAACUACGUGCCAGCAGCCGCGGUAAUACGUAGGGUGCGAGCGUUGUCCGGAGUUACUGGGCGUAAAGGGCUCGUAGGUGGUUUGUCGCGUCGUCUGUGAAAUUCUGGGGCUUAACUCCGGGCGUGCAGGCGAUACGGGCAUAACUUGAGUGCUGUAGGGGUAACUGGAAUUCCUGGUGUAGCGGUGAAAUGCGCAGAUAUCAGGAGGAACAUCGAUGGCGAAGGCAGGUUACUGGGCAGUU